This 498-nucleotide ribosomal RNA is filed under the name uncultured bacterium. RNAcentral describes it as "bacterial SSU rRNA". It matches the Rfam family "Bacterial small subunit ribosomal RNA", at positions 29 to 518 of the family's 1533-position model. The record is from RNAcentral.
AUGAACGCUAGCGACAGGCUUAACACAUGCAAGUCAGGGGUAACAGGGUAGCAAUACCGCUGACGACCGGCGCACGGGUGAGUAACGCGUAUGCAACCUGCCUAUAACUGGGGAAUAGCUCCCUGAAAGGGGAAUUAACACCGCAUAACACUAUUGAUUCGCAUGGAUUGGUAGUUAAAUGUAGCGAUACAGGUUAUAGAUGGGCAUGCGUGACAUUAGCUAGUUGGUGAGGUAACGGCUCACCAAGGCUACGAUGUCUAGGGGUUCUGAGAGGAAGGUCCCCCCACACUGGUACUGAGACACGGACCAGACUCCUACGGGAGGCAGCAGUGAGGAAUAUUGGUCAAUGGGCGCAAGCCUGAACCAGCCAUGUCGCGUGCAGGAAGAACCUGCCCUAUGGGUUGUAAACUGCUUUUAUAGUAGAAGAAACACAUCUACGUGUAGAUGUCUGCCAGUAUACUAUGAAUAAGCAUCGGCUAACUCCGUGCCAGCCGCCGC